This 838-nucleotide ribosomal RNA is filed under the name Streptomyces sp. Its description in RNAcentral is "bacterial SSU rRNA". It matches the Rfam family "Bacterial small subunit ribosomal RNA", at positions 78 to 929 of the family's 1533-position model. Lineage: Bacteria; Bacillati; Actinomycetota; Actinomycetes; Kitasatosporales; Streptomycetaceae. The record is from RNAcentral.
CUUAGGGUGGAUUAGUGGCGAACGGGUGAGUAACACGUGGGCAAUCUGCCCUUCACUCUGGGACAAGCCCUGGAAACGGGGUCUAAUACCGGAUAACACUCUGUCCCGCAUGGGACGGGGUUAAAAGCUCCGGCGGUGAAGGAUGAGCCCGCGGCCUAUCAGCUUGUUGGUGGGGUAAUGGCCUACCAAGGCGACGACGGGUAGCCGGCCUGAGAGGGCGACCGGCCACACUGGGACUGAGACACGGCCCAGACUCCUACGGGAGGCAGCAGUGGGGAAUAUUGCACAAUGGGCGAAAGCCUGAUGCAGCGACGCCGCGUGAGGGAUGACGGCCUUCGGGUUGUAAACCUCUUUCAGCAGGGAAGAAGCGAAAGUGACGGUACCUGCAGAAGAAGCGCCGGCUAACUACGUGCCAGCAGCCGCGGUAAUACGUAGGGCGCAAGCGUUGUCCGGAAUUAUUGGGCGUAAAGAGCUCGUAGGCGGCUUGUCACGUCGGAUGUGAAAGCCCGGGGCUUAACCCCGGGUCUGCAUUCGAUACGGGCUAGCUAGAGUGUGGUAGGGGAGAUCGGAAUUCCUGGUGUAGCGGUGAAAUGCGCAGAUAUCAGGAGGAACACCGGUGGCGAAGGCGGAUCUCUGGGCCAUUACUGACGCUGAGGAGCGAAAGCGUGGGGAGCGAACAGGAUUAGAUACCCUGGUAGUCCACGCCGUAAACGUUGGGAACUAGGUGUUGGCGACAUUCCACGUCGUCGUGCCGCAGCUAACGCAUUAAGUUCCCCGCCUGGGGGAGUACGGCCGCAAGGCUAAAACUCAAAGGAAAUUGACGGGGGCCCCGCCACAG